Molecule: ribosomal RNA, 265 nt
Filed under: uncultured bacterium
Lineage: Bacteria
Description: partial 16S ribosomal RNA
Rfam family: Bacterial small subunit ribosomal RNA
Source: RNAcentral
GACGAAGGAUGCAAGGCGUUAUCCGGAUUCAUUGGGUUUAAAGGGAGCGUAGGCGGACUUGUAAGUUCAGUGGUGAAAUCUGUGGGCUUAACCCACAAACUGCCAUUGAUACUGCAGGUCUAGAGGUACAGUUACCGUUGGCGGAAUAAUGACAUGUAGUGGUGAAAUAACUUAGAUAUGUCAUAGAACACCGGAUUGCGAAGGCAGCUAACGAAGCUGUAAACUGACGCUGGAGGCUCGGAAAAGUGCGGGGACUCAAACAGGA